GAGCCAUUCACAUUGAACCAAGUAAAAUUUUUCCCCACUAAGGGGAUGUCAAUCAGAAGAUUGUCAUCAAUAAAGGUAUUGAACCCCUUGAUCUCUCUUGAGUGAUCGUUUGAGAUGGUUCUCGUGCCCGCACUUCCUUUCCGUUCGCUACGACUUCUUGUGGCAUUAAAAUCACCACAUAAGCACCACACCUUAAUUUGUGAUGUUGCUUUGAUAUUAGAUACCUCCGCC
Molecule: long non-coding RNA, 231 nt
Filed under: Phaseolus vulgaris (common bean)
Lineage: Eukaryota; Viridiplantae; Streptophyta; Magnoliopsida; Fabales; Fabaceae
Description: long non-coding RNA (PVUL_LNC001788)
Source: RNAcentral